This is a long non-coding RNA of Felis catus (domestic cat), 7716 nucleotides long. RefSeq lists it as uncharacterized. The record is from RefSeq and is a predicted model, not a curated record. The transcript is spliced from 4 exons. NCBI's taxonomy places the organism in Eukaryota, Metazoa, Chordata, Mammalia, Carnivora, Felidae.
CUUCUUUAUCGGGCCUCCUUUUGCAGGAGCUUUGAUCUGGAGGAUGCGGUCACAUUUUGCUUGGAGGUACGAAUUGUCUAGAAAAACCCAAAAAAGAAGAACACGCCCUUAAAUAACUCCUCAAACUGAAUUUAAAAAAUUCCUGGGCCUCAGCCCAGAGCUACUGACUGAGAAAAUCUGGGAGCGAGUCUGGAAGCCGCCUCUUUACCAAUAUCUUCAGGUGAUGCCGAUGAAGCUACAUUGAAAACAUCACCGAGAUCAAGCGUAGGAAGCCAACCCCUCGCUCAGGACUUGAUACACAGGAAGAGCUUAAGAAAUGCCAACCUUCCUUCCUGCUCCCUCCACCUCUUUGCACUGGACCCGUGAAGAAAGAACAGAGGACGACCGAUUGCAUUUGAUGCAACAAUGACCAUUUCAUGUGACAACAAAAAAAUCAAGUGGUCCUGGACGCUUAAUCUUCUCGGGACAUCUCAUCACCUUCCAGCAUCUGAAAUCACCAUGUCUGCCUGCAACGUGUGGACUAGGGAGAAAUGACUGUUUCAGUUGGGCAGGCUAGUCCACCACCUUUCAUCCAAGAAAUCCGUGUCCCAAAGUGACUUUCUGACAGUUGGUAUUCAAUGCCUUACGGCACUGUUGAGAAUGCUGAAGAAGCAGACUAGGUUGUCCAUUCAAGAACGAGUCCCACAUCUGGAGUGCAGAACUGACUGCCAAAGAAAUAUGGGCUCUUCGAUGAAAAGGAAGCCAGUGGUUCCUGCCAUCCAGAAGCCAUUCUAUGCAGGAGGCCACCACUGCUCCCGCCGGCUCCAGAAGCAGCCCAUAUCUGCUGUAAUCCACACCAGCAAAGCGGAUGCCCUGACACCCGUGGAGCUAGAGACCCUAGCACUGCUACAAGGGAGCUAAAUGGCUCCACGGAUAAGCUUGGCCGUUGAGAGAGACGACAAAAGGACUACUUCUACCUUCUUCCACCUUCCCAAGCAUACACGCUUGCAUCUGAUGGGCUGAGGCUAAGUGACAUCAGUAACCCUAGUUGCACAGGAGUCUGGGAAAUGUAGUUUUUAGCUUCCUAGCCUCUACAACUCAAGUGGGCAUCCAAGAAGGAGAGUAGAAUUGUGUCGGGUGCCAAUGGUUGUUGGGAACCAACCUACCACAUUAGGGCUGCCCCGUUGGCAGAGCUAGCUGCAGGAUGGCGAGUGGAGCUUCUGGGUAGAACAGUUAAUGCUCAGGUGAGGAGUAGGGUGUGGACGUGGCUGAAAGCCAAACUCUCCCAUCCUCUGCCUUUACAGAACCGUGAGCACACCUGCUGUGCCACCCCUCCCUGCCCCGGGAAGCAGCCUUCUUUGCAUGUCCUGUGCUGGGUGGAGUGGGCAGCGCGGCAUGGCUCAAGGCACUGUGGGCAAAGGUUCUGGUUACCCUUUGCCACUGACAACGUGCGACGAAGCACGCUUCUUCUUCAGUAAACAAGGGGACUGGCCGAGGCCUCUCGUCGCCCUUAACAACCUCUAAGUUUAUAAGAAACAGACUCCCUUGUGGUCACUUCAUUCCAGAGCUACAUUGGAGGAAUAACAUAUUUCUUUUCAAUAUCAACGUUGUCAAAACCACAGUAGCUGGGUUUGCAUGGUUUCUGGUAAAACGGUGGCUGUUAAAACUAUGCCAGUGCAAACGUGGACAUAAAUAGAUAAUAAAUCCUGAUAGGUCUAUAGGACUGCUAUAUUUAGAUUCAAACCUGUUCACCCUCACGAGAUAAAGCUCCGUUUGAUGGCUCAGCUUCCCAAACCGGGCAAAGGUUCAGAAAUGGAAGGUUUGUGGAUUUCAUUGCCAAGAAGACAGAAAGUAGAGGCAGUAAAUCUAGAGUGUCAGUGUUGAUGCUGAAUUUUACUGUUGGAGCCCGGGUCUGCCCCCGCCCCUUCCCCAGUCUUUGGCCCUGUAGAGGUCAGGUGUAACUUCCUGAAUUCUGUUAGCCUGACAUUUCAAGGGCUUAGAGCCAUUUAAAAAAGGUGAAUAUGCAUGCAAUGACCAACGUGUCGGGGCCAACAUUUAGCUUCUGCUUAAGAACUCCUGGGGGCUGAAGUGAUUUUCCUAAGCAUAGGCAAGCCUGGUUGAAGAAACCCAAACGUACAAAUGUUUGAUCAGGGGCUUUAAAUGAGAGUAUUUACAUGGAAAAAUAUCUAGUAUCAUAGCAGGUGCCUUCCUUCUGCAUUUUACAUGAAUAAGCCUCUCUUGGCUCUCCAGAAAUCCACUGUUUAUAGGGUGUGAAGCCCCCCAGAGCAGGCAAAGCUCUCCUCUGGGAAUGUGUAUUUUCUUGGUUGCUUGUGGUAUUUGCUGUUUGUUUUAGGUUCUCAGUUAAGAAGCCCUUGAGAACAAGAGGGGAACUUCAAGUUCAUCUAGCUCAACUCCCCAGUUGGAAAGAGCCAGUGGGAGAAUGAAGUCAAAGCAGGAAAGCCUUGUGGGAGAUCCUGACUGUCAUCUGAUCGUCAGCCGUGCGUGGCCCCCCUCUUGCCCUCGGCCACCUGUGCCUUCAGCUCACCUCUUGGACCUUGAGUUUCUGCAAGUCAGUCAAUUCCUUCCCACUCCCAUUUCACCACUCCCCCCCACCCCCAGUUUUUUCUUUCUUUGAAGCAACCCGUGUUAUGUUUUCCCAGUGGGUCAGCGUCCUGGACGUUUUACCCAAGUGGCUUGGAGGUAGUCCUGCUUAUCUUAGCUUCUGAAUCUAACCAGUCCUUAAUUAUUAUCAUCACUUGACCAAAUCCCCUUCUCUCUUCUCUCUACCUUCAUCCACACCCACUCCCGGAAAUGGAUAGGUCUUGGCUGGGCAGGGGUGAGGACCCCUAGGCCAGUGUGAGCAGUUUCUCAUCCAGGGCAGCAAGGAUGCCCAGAGAAGCCAGUGGAGGAGGAGUCACAGCAGGAAGCUGUAGGUCCUCCAACCAAAGGAGUCACUGGCAGGUGUUGGAGACAGGAGAUUGGACUUUGAGACAGCAGAGAACAACCUCAAGGGCAGGGCCAGGGAGCUUGGCUUGAGCAGGGUCACUCCUUCAUGCCAUCAGAGCCAGUGGGGGACUCUCAGCACGGUGUGCGGUCCAGGAUGAACAUUUGGCACCUGCUGCGAUUUUAGCACUGUGUAUGUGUGUGUAUGUGUGUGCACACGCCUGCAAAAAUGCAAGCAUUGUGUGUGCAGGGACCUACGAGUGACACGAGGCUCAAGACCCAGUCCUUAGCGAUGGUUUCCAAUCCGUUUGGAAAUACGCAAGACCCAUCUUACACAGCAGGCCGUGUAUUAAGCGCCACAUUAUGGUGGACAGAGAGCUAAACUGGUAAUGAGGGUGCCGCCCAGUUCUAACCCUCUACCUGUUCCUUAACUUGGCUUUGUGGGCCUCCAUUCGCUCUCCUGUAAUGUGGAGGGAUGGGAGUGAACAGUGACAAACAAAACGAAUCUGAAAAGAAAGGUGACACAGAUGGGGGAGGGUGCACAGAACAUGUGAAUUUCCACAAAGCAAACAUGGGAAUUUGUGGUAUCGAUACCACCCAAGUCAAGCAAUGGAUCAAUACCAGUGUCCAGAGGCCACUUUCGAUCCCCCUCCAGAUCACUGCGCGCUCUUCUCUCCAGAGGCAGCCACUGUGGUCUCAAUAGUCUGGAAGUCCCUUUCAGCUAUAACAUUGAGUAACCCUACACAUAACAGGCAUAGACAGAAGACCACCGCGGCGCCGGCCAAAGCUGUUAAAAACUGGAACUCUGUUGUGUAAGUUCCUUGACAUAGUUUUACAACAAUGAGUAUGUAGGGCCCAGAUUGUUUCUUUGUCCAUCAGAACCCUACUUUUUUUUUUUUUUGAACAACUGAGCAUAAUCAACCAAGUUCCUAUAUCUGCGCUCUCCCCUGUGUCCUUGGCUCUGUGGUUCUGAGGUUGUACUCUGGGUCAGAAAAUUCCUGCCUUCAUCCCAAAGUUCAGUACCAAGUACAGAGCUAUUUUUUUCUGGUGGUGCAAAAUUGAGCUGGGUGGGUACAUCAUGGUGCUAAGCUAUUCCUCAGGGCUGCCAAAUUGUGACUUGGCGUGUGUACUUAUGCCCCUAAAAGGUUGCCUUAAGCACAGAGGAAGGGCAAGCAUCGUGAUUACACACACACACACACACACACACACACACACACACACAGAAAGCAUGGCCACCAGUAUGAUACCCACACGAUGCACCCAUUCAAACGAUGUUUGCAAAAGGAAAUGGAUUUGAAAAUUCUUUGAAUGGAAAAAAUGGGGCUGGAUACUGUUCAGAGACAAAUUUGUACAUGAGGUUUUACUGAAAAGCUGGUUUCCAGCAAGGCUUAGGAUCGUUUCGCUGUGGCUUUCACUGUAUUAGAGCUUCCUAACCUCUUCCAGUUAGUGACGCAGUUGGAACUUCUGAUCACUCACGAGGGAGCGAGUGACCUUCUUUGUCUCUUUCAAUCUACCCAGCAGCUCGGCCUUGUUGGAUCGCGUCUCCCCUUAUGCUCCCUGCCUUGGUGCUAGAGCACAUCUGCCCACACGUACACACACGUACACGUGCGCGAACACAGACCCCGGCCGCCUUCACUAUCUCUCCGUUCCAGCCCUGGCUACUUCUGCCCAGCAACCAAGCCUGGCCUGCCCCGCGGCCUGCUGGUUGGAAAAAUGUUGAAGAAGACGGUCCUAGGGGUUUCCUUCUGACCCCGAAGCACGGAGACACGGUGCCUGUAAUGCGCUGAAGCUCACACUCCAUGUCUUCCCUGCAAGGACAGAAGUAAUUGUCACCACAUGGGGCCUUUCAUGCGGGGUGGGGGGCGGGUGGGGAUCACAUGUGGAGCUGGAGAAGGUGGUAGUUAUAUUGCGUGGUUUGAGGACUAGGGAGUUUCCCAGCUCCUAAACCUCUUCCCUCUUCUCUAUCCCACCUGCCUGUCACAGCAACCAAUGUGCACCUGCUUAGCUCCGCUCCUAUGGGCUGUGAAUGAUUUUUGGUCAUCAGGAGUUUCCUACUAAAAGGUGUGCAUUCCAGCCUUUACGGCCAAUACCUCGUAGGGAUCAGACCAGUGAGGAUCUGUGGAGGGGCGCGGCCAGGGGCUAGGGACGGCUUUGCUUCAUAAGAGCUGAUGGAAGGCUGAACGCCAGUAUUGCGACAGGUAGAGGGGGACAUCCUUCUUCCAGGUAAGCACCGGGUACAGAUUGGUAUGGUCACCCAGCUGGUAGUGGGACCGAGGCUUUCUGGAGCCACGAUCAGGUACUAAUCCCAGCCAGUUGAAGGUCUUCCAUAGGUGACUUCCUGCCUGUUUGUUACUUGGUGCUUCUAUUUCUCCGUGGCGAGAAAGAAGGCACCCUUUUGGAUUUAUGUGGGUAUAGAGGAUGACCUUUGGGGACACACUCAAGCUUGUUCAGUGUCCUCGAUCUGCAUGAAGGAGAGUGCCUCCCCAGUGCAACCUCCUGAUGGGCUCGAUGCAAGCCCUUACAAAAACACGAACGUGUUUAAGAGAAGUAAAGCAAAGUCAUUUUUGAAUGUGAGUCCAUGCAAGACUGCACAUGAAAAUACAGAGCGAAACUCGAUCAAACCUGGCCCCUCUCUCGCAGGCUUCCUCGGGGGUGGAGGAGAUGUCUGCAGACUGGAAAAUGUAAUUUCAAGGGGGCCUGGAGAGAGACAGCAAUAAAGACCCGUGUGUUUUAUUGCACAUUCUGAGGGGGAAAGGCUUAGGAAGUGCCUUAAUGGAGGAAAUGAGAGAUGGUUCUAGAGGACAGAGCUUGAUAAAAGGAAGGCGGCCCAAGCUCUCAACAGGAGAGGUCAUGCCUCUUUAAUUUGUUGGAAUUCAUGAAGGGUUUGCUGUAGCUGCAGCAAAGCAAAAGUCGUGGGCUGUUCGAGUUUCUAUCUAUCAGUGUUGAUGAAGCAGAGAUGGAAAGACGCUGUAGCUAGUUAUCAAGUAAACAGCGGCGAGCUGGUAAAUGUUUACCGGCUGGCUCCAGGGACGGGGUGGCCCGGAGCCCUGAUCUGUAGUUUUGCCGAUUUCCGUGGUGUAAAUACUCCCACCGUGGCUGACCUCAGGCUGCCCACGUGACGUCACUGAACACAGACCUGGGAAGAGAUACACAGAAUGCGCUCUGGUGAGCUGGUGCGGGCCAGCUCCAGCCCGGCUCUGCCUGAACAACCCGGUCAGUGGUCAGCUUUUUUUUCCUUUGGCGUUGAUGUGGGGUCAGGGAGCCAGGAGCCACUGGUCCGCUCGUCCUUCCUCAGACAGGAGCUGACGGCCUGCUUCAGGAUGGCAGGCCCGGCUGUUUUAGGUAGCACGAGACUUGGGCUGAGGAGGAGAGCCAGAUAUAGGUCCCCCAACCCAACGCCCCCCCCCCCCCCAUGUCUCCUGAAGCUGUGAUUUAAAUUUGUAAUGUUUUAAAAUUAUUCCUGAAGAAUCCGAAAUGCUUCGGAGAAAUUCCGGUAAGCCCAGAGGAUUCUGAGCACAGCAUGGGACGCGCACAGCAAGGGCAUAUUGGGCCUUCAGGGAAAACUCCCCUUUACUUGAAAUGGACUCUUUUCAAUGACGUGUGAGCUGACCGUGGGUAACAGGACCAACAGGGGUCGUGGGGUCAUCCCCCUCCUAGUCGUGGUCGGUGAAGGUUGUUUAGAAAGGACGGAUUCUGGCUUCCCUUGGAGCUCCUAUCUGCCCUCCAUAUGUCUUGCAUUUUAAAAAAGUGCAGACCUGAAUUAGAAUGUUCGGUCCUGUUACCCCGAAAGUACAAUCAUACUUGUCAGACCAAACGGGCUCUGUUUAGACCACUUGCGAGGCACCUUUCCUUUGAGUGUAGGGUUUCACUUCUCCGGGCUUUGGAGUACUGGGCAGUUCCCCUCACAGAAGCCAUGAGAAAGGGGAGGUCACAUGCGAGUCCCUUGACCUUUGCAGGGAGAAGCCCUACGUUUUGGGUGUCAGAGAGAAAUUCUGAUUGGACAAAGGCUUCUGUAGCUAAUGAAACAUAAACAAUAAAAAACCUAAGCCACCCUCCCCCGCCAAAGACUGGAGAGCUAGGAGGUCCAUUAUGCAAUUUAUUCUACAUGUAUUUAUUGCUAAGUGCUGGAAAAAUAAAUAAGACCCAGCGACUCUGUCCUUAAGCUAUUCACUAUUUAGAAAGGCAGGCAGAACCUUGGAGAAGUUGGCACUUAGGUCAGGAGGCAGAGGGGAGCCAUGGGCAGGGUUUGGUCAGGGGCAUGACACAGGCAGAGCUACCUUCUUAGAAACGGGUGUGGGAAGGUGGGUUGGGACCACAGACCAGGAGCAGUGCCCACCCAAGUUUCAGGAUGGAGGUCAUAACAGUCCAUGCUGGUGGAGAUAGUGGGAAGGGAGAGAAGUGAAUAGGGUGUGAGUAGUUUCAUAGAGAGAAACACCAGUGUUAGAGGAAGUAUUCAGAAGGGCAGGAUGACGAGCCCAAUUGAAUGGUCUAGCAUGAGAGGAGACAGGGAGAAAUGGGUAUAUUUUCCACGAGUGUCUGGUGUUUCUGCACAUCCGUGAGCAUGGGCACCGACAGCUUUUGUUCCAGACUAUCUUUUCAAGGACAUUUGUCUAGCAAACAGCCUUGGAGGAUAGAGAGUGUUGUCCUCUGGAGCAGAAGGUAAGUCUGUUUGCUUUCCAGGAAACUCAAGAUAAUGUCUACGUCAAAGGUCAGGCAGCUUUGCCGGCAGCCCAUCAUCAAAAUGAAGCUCACACUGCAUGCUGUGCCCGGAACAAUAACAUCUUUGGUCUCUGA